This 396-nucleotide ribosomal RNA is filed under the name uncultured bacterium. Its description in RNAcentral is "partial 16S ribosomal RNA". It matches the Rfam family "Bacterial small subunit ribosomal RNA", at positions 523 to 917 of the family's 1533-position model. The record is from RNAcentral.
AUACGUAGGGGGCGAGCGUUGUCCGGAAUGAUUGGGCGUAAAGGGCGCGUAGGCGGCCCGGUAAGUCUGGAGUGAAAGUCCCGUUUUUAAGAUGGGAAUUGCUUUGGAUACUGUCGGGCUUGAGUGCAGGAGAGGGAAGUGGAAUUCCCAGUGUAGCGGUGAAAUGCGUAGAGAUUGGGAGGAACACCAGUGGCGAAGGCGACUUACUGGACUGUAACUGACGCUGAGGCGCGAAAGUGUGGGGAGCAAACAGGAUUAGAUACCCUGGUAGUCCACACUGUAAACGAUGAAUGCUAGGUGUAGGGGGUAUCGACCCCUUCUGUGCCGCAGUCAACACAAUAAGCAUUCCGCCUGGGGAGUACGGCCGCAAGGUUGAAACUCAAAGGAAUUGACGGG